GGAAGUAAAGGUCGUAACAAGGUCUCCGUAGGUGAACCAGCGGAGGGAUCAUUACUGGAAUCGCAAGAUCUCACAACCCUGUGCACCUACCGAAACGUUGACUCGGUGGGCGAACGGACUCUGUGGCGGGCGCUGCUCCCGCCGGGGGGCCCCUACUCUGUCUCUGGAGCGGGGCAUGGCAGAGGCCCAGAAAACAAGUCAAAACUUUUCUCAACGGAACUUCUUGUUGAAGCAUCGACGCAGAACGCAGCAGGUUGGUAGAGGACACGGCAGUCACGGAGUGUCGGGUAUCAACCUC
RNAcentral lists this unclassified non-coding RNA (298 nucleotides) under plant metagenome. RNAcentral describes it as "partial contains small subunit ribosomal RNA and internal transcribed spacer 1". The stretch from base 1 to 54 matches the Rfam family "Eukaryotic small subunit ribosomal RNA", at positions 1778 to 1831 of the family's 1831-position model. The record is from RNAcentral.